CGGAUUAGGGCCGGGUAGGUUAGGUGCUUUGUUUGGGUCAAAGAUCAGUUACGUUCGAAUCGUAAUAAUCCGA
Molecule: transfer RNA, 73 nt
Filed under: Clonostachys rosea
Lineage: Eukaryota; Fungi; Ascomycota; Sordariomycetes; Hypocreales; Bionectriaceae
Also listed under: 3 other names
Description: tRNA-Pro
Source: RNAcentral